UCCCUGGAGGACUAGUUGAUAGGCCACGGCGCUCUCACCGCCGUGGCCCGGGUUCGAUUCCCGGCCAGGGAA
Non-coding RNA from Pangasius djambal, 72 nucleotides. NCBI's taxonomy places the organism in Eukaryota, Metazoa, Chordata, Actinopteri, Siluriformes, Pangasiidae. The record is from the annotation of a GenBank genome assembly.